This 286-nucleotide ribosomal RNA is filed under the name uncultured bacterium. RNAcentral describes it as "partial 16S ribosomal RNA". It matches the Rfam family "Bacterial small subunit ribosomal RNA", at positions 333 to 636 of the family's 1533-position model. The record is from RNAcentral.
UGCGGCCUACGGGAGGCAGCAGUGGGGGAUAUUGGACAAUGGGGGAAACCCUGAUCCAGCGAUGCCGCGUGAGGGAAGAAGGUUUUCGGAUUGUAAACCUCUGUGGAGGGGGACGAUAAUGACGGUACCCCUUUAGGAAGCCACGGCUAACUACGUGCCAGCAGCCGCGGUAAUACGUAGGUGGCGAGCGUUGUCCGGAAUUACUGGGUGUAAAGGGAGUGUAGGCGGGGAAGAAAGUCAGCAGUGAAAACUAUGAGCUUAACCCAUAGGCUGCUUUUGAAACUGU